UCACGGUUAGUGAAGUGGUCGUAACCAUC
This 29-nucleotide small RNA is filed under the name Bombyx mori (domestic silkworm). RNAcentral's name for it is "ovarian small RNA-25307". The record is from RNAcentral. Lineage: Eukaryota; Metazoa; Arthropoda; Insecta; Lepidoptera; Bombycidae.